UUGCACACUUCGGGUGUGUAUAUGAUGAUAUUCUGCGAAAGGUUAUUUAUGCUGCGUUUCUCUCGACUUACCCUGGCCUAGACGACACCCGUGAGUGGGGAAGGGUUUGAUCAUUAUUACAGGUACCGUUGGUGACUUGUGGUUCUGUUGGUGACUUUGGGUUCAGAUGACAGUUCUCAGUUGACUUUGGGUUUCAAUUGGAUUUGGGUUCUGAGUUUAAACCGUAGCUUCGACCUUGUGUUCAGAGAUGCACGGCCAGCCAGUUGUGUCUGCAUCAUUUGCAUCAUAGCAUGUUUAUUUUCAAAAAAAAAUACGCAAUACAAAAAAAAAGAAAAAAGAAGAAA
RNAcentral lists this long non-coding RNA (344 nucleotides) under Lathyrus oleraceus (garden pea). Its description in RNAcentral is "Pisum sativum (pea) long non-coding RNA (PSAT_LNC026557)". Lineage: Eukaryota; Viridiplantae; Streptophyta; Magnoliopsida; Fabales; Fabaceae. The record is from RNAcentral.